RNAcentral lists this non-coding RNA (21 nucleotides) under Caenorhabditis elegans. Lineage: Eukaryota; Metazoa; Nematoda; Chromadorea; Rhabditida; Rhabditidae. The record is from RNAcentral.
UCACUUAGUGACAAAAUAAUU